Molecule: non-coding RNA, 24 nt
Filed under: Arabidopsis thaliana (thale cress)
Lineage: Eukaryota; Viridiplantae; Streptophyta; Magnoliopsida; Brassicales; Brassicaceae
Source: RNAcentral
AGGCUUUUAAGAUCCGGUUGUGGU